CCUACGGGAGACAGCAGUGAGGAAUAUUGGUCAAUGGGCGUAAGCCUGAACCAGCCAAGUCGCGUGAGGGAUGAAGGUCCUAUGGAUUGUAAACCUCUUUUAUAAGGGAAUAAAGUGUGGGACGUGUCCUGUUUUGUGUGUACCUUAUGAAUAAGGAUCGGCUAACUCCGUGCCAGCAGCCGCGGUAAUACGGAGGAUGCGAGCGUUAUCCGGAUUUAUUGGGUUUAAAGGGUGCGUAGGCGGAUGGUUAAGUCAGUGGUAAAAUUGAGGGGCUCAACCCCUUCCCGCCAUUGAAACUGGCGUUCUUGAGUGGGAGAGAAGUAUGCGGAAUGCGUGGUGUAGCGGUGAAAUGCAUAGAUAUCACGCAGAACCCCGAUUGCGAAGGCAGCAUGCCGGCGUUCAACUGACGCUGAAGCACGAAAGCGUGGGGAUCGAACAGGAUUAGAUACCCGAGUAGUC
Molecule: ribosomal RNA, 459 nt
Filed under: uncultured bacterium
Lineage: Bacteria
Description: partial 16S ribosomal RNA
Rfam family: Bacterial small subunit ribosomal RNA
Source: RNAcentral